CCAGCAGCUCGGCCGGCAACAGCUUGCCCGCCAGCAGUGCGGAGAUGAACGUGUGCAGGUCCUGUGUGGUGGAGAUCAUGUCUCCACCGCUGGA
This 94-nucleotide transfer RNA is filed under the name Microbispora bryophytorum. RNAcentral describes it as "tRNA-Cys". Lineage: Bacteria; Bacillati; Actinomycetota; Actinomycetes; Streptosporangiales; Streptosporangiaceae. The record is from RNAcentral.